Oncorhynchus tshawytscha (Chinook salmon) is the source of this 1161-nucleotide long non-coding RNA. RefSeq lists it as uncharacterized. NCBI's taxonomy places the organism in Eukaryota, Metazoa, Chordata, Actinopteri, Salmoniformes, Salmonidae. The record is from RefSeq and is a predicted model, not a curated record. The transcript is spliced from 4 exons.
GUUGUUGAAGGUGGGAAGGAGAAUGUCUGCGAAUGCAUAGAAUAAACUAUGUGAGAGGAUGAGUGCGUGGGUGAAGAGGAGGAGGGCAAGAAAGACGAAGAGGAAGAGGAAGACAAAGAGUGGAAAUAUUUGAUGGAAUUCGAGCAACAGUUAUAGACCACGUUCUUGUCCAUGGACUUACAAUGAGGGGAGCAGGACUUAGAGUGCAACCCAAUUUGAGCUGAUUUUCUGUGUCCACCAUAGUAAGGACAUUCAGAGAAGAGAACAGAAUUGCAAGGCUGCCACAUGCAGGUGGAAGGACAGGUAUAUUCACUCGGGAGCAAGAGGCCAUUAUAGUUGGCAUGGUCCUUCAAGAUAAUGCAAUACGACUCAGAGAAAUCCAGGAAUGAGUGAUACGAGACAACACACACUUCCAGGGAAUCGACAGUGUGAGCAUUUCCACAAUUGACCGUGUCCUCCAUCGUAACAGGAUGCGAAUGAAACAAGUAUACAGAGUACCUUUUGAGCGCAACUCACCAAGAAUGAAAGAACUGUGAGCUCAGUAUGUACAAAGAUAAAGCUACAGGACAAAGAUAUCUACACCUGUGUGGCUGCCAACCCAGUCAGCAACCAGACAACCAAACUCAACGUUGAGGAGCACUGUCCUCAGUAUGUAGAUUCCUGUGCCUGGUGCAUCAGCCUGACUGAGUUGGUUGUGCGAUUGGUUCUGUCGGCUCUGGUGGAUGUGGACAUGACUGUUUUGCUGUUUCAUUACUUCAGACAAAAAAGACACUCUCAGGCUCAGCCCUGACUGUCUCAUCACAUGCCCCAGUACCACUUCUGUGUAGUGCUGCACAACAUGUUACUUGGGGAGAGUCUAUUCAAUUCUAUUCUACCAUUCUGUUCUGGUUUGUUCAGUUCUAUCCGACUUCUCGAUCACCCAACGUGUUUUUGGUUCAGUCACUCUCACAGCUUUGUCAGGAUUCAGAAGACUUUUAAAAAGCCUACGCUUCUGAAGUAAAUAUGCAAUGUCAUGUCACUGCUUUCAUUGUACAUAACACAUGUAUGUAGAUUGAUGCUUCUUUUGUAAAAAAAUUCUGCUGCAUUGUUAAUGAUCUUAAUUCACAAACAUCAAUGCUUAUGUGUGAGACUCAUCCAAUGCAGACCUGUCAUUGUCUUACU